AAACCAACAGGGAUUGCCUCAGUAACGGCGAGUGAAGCGGCAAGAGCUCAAAUUUGAAAGCUGGCCCCCUCGGGGUCCGCGUUGUAAUUUGCAGAGGAUGCUUCGGGUGCAGCCCCCGUCUAAGUGCCCUGGAACGGGCCGUCAUAGAGGGUGAGAAUCCCGUCUGGGACGGGGUGUCUGCGUCCGUGUGAAGCUCCUUCGACGAGUCGAGUUGUUUGGGAAUGCAGCUCUAAAUGGGUGGUAAAUUUCAUCUAAAGCUAAAUACUGGCCGGAGACCGAUAGCGCACAAGUAGAGUGAUCGAAAGAUGAAAAGCACUUUGAAAAGAGAGUUAAACAGCACGUGAAAUUGUUGAAAGGGAAGCGUUUGCGACCAGACUCGCCCGCGGGGUUCAGCCGGCAUUCGUGCCGGUGUACUUCCCCGUGGGCGGGCCAGCGUCGGUUUGGGCGGCCGGUCAAAGGCCCUCGGAAUGUAUCACCCUUCGGGGUGUCUUAUAGCCGAGGGUGCAAUGCGGCCUGCCCGGACCGAGGAACGCGCUUCGGCUCGGACGCUGGCGUAAUGGUCGUAAAUGACC
This 572-nucleotide ribosomal RNA is filed under the name Aspergillus hiratsukae. Its description in RNAcentral is "LSU rRNA". It matches the Rfam family "Eukaryotic large subunit ribosomal RNA", at positions 62 to 649 of the family's 3401-position model. The record is from RNAcentral. Lineage: Eukaryota; Fungi; Ascomycota; Eurotiomycetes; Eurotiales; Aspergillaceae.